This 1356-nucleotide ribosomal RNA is filed under the name uncultured bacterium. Its description in RNAcentral is "bacterial SSU rRNA". It matches the Rfam family "Bacterial small subunit ribosomal RNA", at positions 18 to 1395 of the family's 1533-position model. The record is from RNAcentral.
CCUGGCUCAGGACGAACGCUGGCGGCGCGCCUAACACAUGCAAGUCGAACGAGCGAGAGAGAGCUUGCUUUCUCGAGCGAGUGGCGAACGGGUGAGUAACGCGUGAGGAACCUGCCUCAAAGAGGGGGACAACAGUUGGAAACGACUGCUAAUACCGCAUAAGCCCACAGCUCGGCAUCGAGCAGAGGGAAAAGGAGCAAUCCGCUUUGAGAUGGCCUCGCGUCCGAUUAGCUAGUUGGUGAGGUAAUGGCCCACCAAGGCGACGAUCGGUAGCCGGACUGAGAGGUUGAACGGCCACAUUGGGACUGAGACACGGCCCAGACUCCUACGGGAGGCAGCAGUGGGGAAUAUUGCACAAUGGGGGAAACCCUGAUGCAGCGACGCCGCGUGGAGGAAGAAGGUCUUCGGAUUGUAAACUCCUGUUGUUGAGGAAGAUAAUGACGGUACUCAACAAGGAAGUGACGGCUAACUACGUGCCAGCAGCCGCGGUAAAACGUAGGUCACAAGCGUUGUCCGGAAUUACUGGGUGUAAAGGGAGCGCAGGCGGGAAGACAAGUUGGAAGUGAAAUCCAUGGGCUCAACCCAUGAACUGCUUUCAAAACUGUUUUUCUUGAGUAGUGCAGAGGUAGGCGGAAUUCCCGGUGUAGCGGUGGAAUGCGUAGAUAUCGGGAGGAACACCAGUGGCGAAGGCGGCCUACUGGGCACCAACUGACGCUGAGGCUCGAAAGUGUGGGUAGCAAACAGGAUUAGAUACCCUGGUAGUCCACACUGUAAACGAUGAUUACUAGGUGUUGGAGGAUUGACCCCUUCAGUGCCGCAGUUAACACAAUAAGUAAUCCACCUGGGGAGUACGACCGCAAGGUUGAAACUCAAAGGAAUUGACGGGGGCCCGCACAAGCAGUGGAGUAUGUGGUUUAAUUCGACGCAACGCGAAGAACCUUACCAAGUCUUGACAUCCCUUGACGAUGCUGGAAACAGUAUUUCUCUUCGGAGCAAGGAGACAGGUGGUGCAUGGUUGUCGUCAGCUCGUGUCGUGAGAUGUUGGGUUAAGUCCCGCAACGAGCGCAACCCUUAUGGUCAGUUACUACGCAAGAGGACUCUGGCCAGACUGCCGUUGACAAAACGGAGGAAGGUGGGGAUGACGUCAAAUCAUCAUGCCCUUUAUGACUUGGGCUACACACGUACUACAAUGGCGUUAAACAAAGAGAAGCAAGACCGCGAGGUGGAGCAAAACUCAGAAACAACGUCCCAGUUCGGACUGCAGGCUGCAACUCGCCUGCACGAAGUCGGAAUUGCUAGUAAUCGCAGAUCAGCAUGCUGCGGUGAAUACGUUCCCGGGCCUUGUACACACCGCCC